This 301-nucleotide ribosomal RNA is filed under the name uncultured bacterium. Its description in RNAcentral is "partial 16S ribosomal RNA". It matches the Rfam family "Bacterial small subunit ribosomal RNA", at positions 512 to 808 of the family's 1533-position model. The record is from RNAcentral.
CAGCCGCCCGGUAAUACGUAGGGUGCGAGCGUUAAUCGGAAUUACUGGGCGUAAAGCGUGCGCAGGCGGUUCGUUAAGACAGAUGUGAAAUCCCCGGGCCUAACCUGGGAACUGCAUUUGUGACUGGCGAGCUAGAGUAUGGCAGAGGGGGGUAGAAUUCCGCGUGUAGCAGUGAAAUGCGUAGAGAUGUGGAGGAAUACCGAUGGCGAAGGCAGCCCCCUGGGCCAAUACUGACGCUCAUGCACGAAAGCGUGGGGAGCAAACAGGAUUAGAUACCCCGGUAGUCCCUGUCUCUUAUACA